GCCUUGGCGGGCGUGCUUACACAUGCAAGUCGAACGAUGAAGCCCUUCGGGGUGGAUUAGUGGCGAACGGGUGAGUAACACGUGGGCAAUCUGCCCUGCACUCUGGGACAAGCCCUGGAAACGGGGUCUAAUACCGGAUAUGACCAUCUUGGGCAUCCUUGAUGGUGUAAAGCUCCGGCGGUGCAGGAUGAGCCCGCGGCCUAUCAGCUUGUUGGUGAGGUAACGGCUCACCAAGGCGACGACGGGUAGCCGGCCUGAGAGGGCGACCGGCCACACUGGGACUGAGACACGGCCCAGACUCCUACGGGAGGCAGCAGUGGGGAAUAUUGCACAAUGGGCGAAAGCCUGAUGCAGCGACGCCGCGUGAGGGAUGACGGCCUUCGGGUUGUAAACCUCUUUCAGCAGGGAAGAAGCGAAAGUGACGGUACCUGCAGAAGAAGCGCCGGCUAACUACGUGCCAGCAGCCGCGGUAAUACGUAGGGCGCGAGCGUUGUCCGGAAUUAUUGGGCGUAAAGAGCUCGUAGGCGGCUUGUCACGUCGGUUGUGAAAGCCCGGGGCUUAACCCCGGGUCUGCAGUCGAUACGGGCAGGCUAGAGUUCGGUAGGGGAGAUCGGAAUUCCUGGUGUAGCGGUGAAAUGCGCAGAUAUCAGGAGGAACACCGGUGGCAAAGGCGGAUCUCUGGGCCGAUACUGACGCUGAGGAGCGAAAGCGUGGGGAGCGAACAGGAUUAGAUACCCUGGUAGUCCACGCCGUAAACGGUGGGCACUAGGUGUGGGCAACAUUCCACGUUGUCCGUGCCGCAGCUAACGCAUUAAGUGCCCCGCCUGGGGAAUACGGCCGCAAGGCUAAAACUCAAAGGAAUUGACGGGGGCCCGCCCAAGCGGGGGAACCUUGGGGUUAAUUUCACCCACCCC
This 914-nucleotide ribosomal RNA is filed under the name Streptomyces misionensis. RNAcentral describes it as "bacterial SSU rRNA". It matches the Rfam family "Bacterial small subunit ribosomal RNA", at positions 33 to 962 of the family's 1533-position model. The record is from RNAcentral. Lineage: Bacteria; Bacillati; Actinomycetota; Actinomycetes; Kitasatosporales; Streptomycetaceae.